CAAGUACACCCUCCGUUCCAAAUUACUCGUCGCAGAAAUGGAUGUAUCUAAAAGUAAAAUACAUCUAGAUACAUCCGUACCUGUGACAAGUAAUUCAGAACGGAGGGAGUAUGAU
This is a non-coding RNA of Triticum urartu, 115 nucleotides long. The record is from Rfam. NCBI's taxonomy places the organism in Eukaryota, Viridiplantae, Streptophyta, Magnoliopsida, Poales, Poaceae.